RNAcentral lists this RNase P RNA (329 nucleotides) under bovine gut metagenome. RNAcentral describes it as "Bacterial RNase P class B". It matches the Rfam family "Bacterial RNase P class B". Rfam says of the family: Ribonuclease P (RNase P) is a ubiquitous endoribonuclease, found in archaea, bacteria and eukarya as well as chloroplasts and mitochondria. The record is from RNAcentral.
AGACAAACGCUGGGAGUCUUGAGCUCCUUGAGGAAAGUCCAUGCUCACACGUACCUGUGAUGGACGUAGUGUUCGUGCUCAGGGAAAAAAUAACCUGAGGUAGCCUUUGGCUAACGGCGGAAUUUAUUCCUAAGUCUUUGAUAGGGAAUAAUCCAUAAAGUGCCACAGUGACGAUGCUUUUCGAAAGGAAAGAGUGAAACGUGGUAAACCCCGCGAGUGAGAAACCCAAAUUUGGUAGGGGAGUUCUAACGAAGGAAUCGAACGGAGUUAGGAACUAGCAAUAGUAGAUAAAUGUUUGUCUCCUGAAAAGGAACAGAACAUGGCUUAUU